Carassius carassius (crucian carp) is the source of this 1129-nucleotide long non-coding RNA. RefSeq lists it as uncharacterized. The record is from RefSeq and is a predicted model, not a curated record. The transcript has 4 exons. NCBI's taxonomy places the organism in Eukaryota, Metazoa, Chordata, Actinopteri, Cypriniformes, Cyprinidae.
CAACUCUUGAGUCCGUUGGUAAUAAAAUAUAGCUUAUAAGGUAAGAACAGGAGUGCUGUUUUUCAUCCGCUCCAGCAGGCCGCGUCAUCGGGCUUUAGUUUAGUAGUACAGCUUCGGAUGCUUGACAACAACUCUUGAUAACAGUCGGAACAACACGUGCAGACAAGUAUAACUUAUACAUAUGGAAGCUCAGUUACAAACUUACAUAACCACUUAACAGCACACAUUUCAGCCCAUAAACAAACCAAACUGACAAACGCUGUGAUAAAGCGCAGGAAUAGAAGUUGUCACGCGACUCGCCUAAUUAAGAACAGUUACACUCAGCCAACAGAAGCACGUGGACAGACAUACACUCUAAUGAUGGACAUCUGCUUAUGGACAGAAUAAGAGGUGUCUUGUUGGUUGUAAACUCGUCCAGCUGAAGCAGAGCUCUGGGACAUGUGGACAGACAUCGCCUGUAAUGAUGGACAUCUGCUCAUGGCCAGUCUGUCCAAAAGCAUAACCACUGCAGGUCACAGUGCCGGAAGCUCCAGGGGGAGACCGUACUGGUAUCCCCCUUCUUUGGGCACGCCUUCACACACACACUCCACCAUUCACUCAUAUCACAGAGACCUGGCUGGGAUUGAACCAGCAACCUCUGAACCCAUGAGGCAGUACUCUUACCUGUGAGCCACAGGUCUCUUGUUGGAAUAAAGGAAGGAAUUUAUAUUUGACUGUUUAACUGUGAUUUCCCAAUAAAGAAGUUAAAGUAAGCUGGGUACAUGAUUUUUAGAGGUGGGACUUGAACCCAUGUCUCCAUCACAAGCUCAUCCUCAGAGAAAAUGUGUCUAUCCACUUACCCAUCACGGAUUCCCCUUAGUUUUUUUGGCAUGAGUAAGCAGUAUAGGGAUUUGAACUCAGAGCUCCCAGAUUAAAAAACAAUGCUUUAUCUCCAGAGCCACUGAGUCUGUGGAGUGAAGGUUUGUCUCAAGCUCAUCCUAAGAGAAUGUGUGUUUAUUGACUUACCCACCAUGUAUUCCUCGUUGUGUUCUGGCAUUUGAGUGAGUUUUUUGUUUGAGAUCAAUGUCAAGUAAGCAGUAGUGGGGUUUAAGUCCACAUAUCCCAGAUUAAACAGUGCUUUAUCAACUGA